AGGACGAACGCUGGCGGCACGCUAACACAUGCAAGUCGAACGAACGGAGAUAGCUUGCUAUCAAAGUUAGUGGCGGACGGGUGAGUAACACGUGAGCAAUCUGCCUUUAAGUGGGGGAAUAACGAUUGGAAACGGUCGGUAAUACCGCAUAAAAUAGCUGAACCGCAUGAUUUGGCUAUCAAAGAUUUAUCGCUUAAAGAUGAGCUCGCGUCUGAUUAGCUAGUUGGUGAGGUAACGGCCCACCAAGGCGACGAUCAGUAGCCGGACUGAGAGGUUGAACGGCCACAUUGGGACUGAGACACGGCCCAGACUCCUACGGGAGGCAGCAGUGGGGAAUAUUGCACAAUGGGCGCAAGCCUGAUGCCAGCGAUGCCGCGUGAGGGAAGAAGGUUUUCGGAUUGUAAACCUCUGUUGACAGGGACGAUAAUGUCGGUACCUGUUCAGAAAGCUCCGGCUAACUACGUGCCAGCCGCUGC
This 476-nucleotide ribosomal RNA is filed under the name uncultured bacterium. RNAcentral describes it as "bacterial SSU rRNA". It matches the Rfam family "Bacterial small subunit ribosomal RNA", at positions 26 to 518 of the family's 1533-position model. The record is from RNAcentral.